Conger conger (European conger) is the source of this 1754-nucleotide long non-coding RNA. RefSeq lists it as uncharacterized. The transcript has 3 exons. Lineage: Eukaryota; Metazoa; Chordata; Actinopteri; Anguilliformes; Congridae. The record is from RefSeq and is a predicted model, not a curated record.
UAUAGGAAACACAGGAGGAAGCUUAAUGCUGUCAGUUAUAAAGCCCUUUUCCCACUGUGGCCAUUGUGAUUGAUGACAACAGGACUAAAAUAGCAGAACAAGUUCUUUAGAAACACAUGCCAUAUUGCACUUGGACACCACUGGGAUGCUUAAACAAGUUUUUAACUGCAAAGUGUUUCUCAAAAAGAGUUCAGUGAAUUCAGCGCUCACCAAAACGAACUCGCCAACCCGUUUCUGAAGAAAAAGCCCGUCCAACUGACCCAGCCAGAAGUACAUCAUGAUUACCUCCAAGAGCUCAAGCAUAUCUCAAAGGUUUUCCUACACAACUGAAAUGAGGGCUAAUAUUUCAAAGGACCAGGCGAUUUCAACUUGUGCUUCAAUCUAAAAGAACAGCCAGGCUAGUAUUUGCACAUGAAUAAUAGAUGGGCCCUUUAAGAAGACCUAGAGCACUCCAACAUACUUUCAGUCUUACAGAUGAAAAGAAUCCUGUUGACUUGGAAACCACAGGGACACACUGUAGAAAGCCUACACAGUACAGUACAGGGGAUGGGAUUCUGCCCAGUAAUCCCCUGACCUCUUUUCCUUCAUUUGCAUUUCAUAUUAUUCUGUGCUAUUGCCGUCUGCUCCAUCAUUGCAUUUUAAAUCACAAAAGAGUGACUGUAUUUCUUUUUUCUUUUAUGCUUGGUCACAGUUUUUGCCCAAUUUUCCUUUUUGUUCCUCUCCUCUUUGUGACCGUGUCUCUGGUAAAAGCACAAAACAAAUGAAAUGUGAUUGAAAUUGAACAAUGCCACUGAAUGGUGUUCGUGUUUGAGGGGACCAGACAAGCUAAAGUCUGCUAAUACGAGCAGGCUCACCAUUGCUAAUAUCAAAAAGGAUCAAGGUUCUGCUUGCUUUAAUUCCCUCCAUGGACAAAUUUCCUCUGCACAUCAAAUAUUUACCAGGAUUUCCUGGUGACAUUUAAGAUUCAUCAGGUGUCGGCUUGCAAAAGCUGUCAAAAGUUUAACUUGUACUUACUGAUAAAUUCAUUCUAUGUGUUCUCAGAGAAAGUACCCCUGAAAUAAUUCCUGAGACUAACAGUGAUGUUUACAUCUGUAAGUGAGACAUGACAAACUUGUUUUUUUUCAUGGCCAGUUGAGUUCUCAAAGCUUGCCAACUACAAAAGGAUAUGAUGUGGCAUGUUGCGCCAUUUCCCUGUUAUUGCUCCUGCAUGAUUUGCAUUUGUCAUGAAUUAGUGUGACAGAUGGGUAAUCUCUGAGUCUCUAAUUCCCAGAAAUCCAUAUUUGUAUGCUUCUGCAGCCUGGCUUUUUUGUUUUGUGUUAAUGAAUAUUGUGCACAUGGCGGUAUAAAAUGAAAAUGGAAGACAGUCAUAUCCUAUAUCAUGACUUUGGAUGAGAUGCAAAAUGGCACCUAGUGCUGGUGCCAAGACUGGAGUGCGACUGCAGGGUACAGCGUGCCAUCUUGCCACAGUUGGAAACAUGAAGGCUCUAGGAUAAGGUCUUGUAGCUGCAAUAAAACAUUUCUACAAUGUUCAACUACUGGGAUUCCAUUAUAGGGUGGAAAUUUGAUGGCAAGAGGAUAAACAUUUCCAUCAAAUGUGAAAAAGAAUCUGUAAUCAUGGUAUACUUUGGAUACUGCCCAAAGUAAUGACAACAAUCUCUGUCCUGUUAUAACCAUUCCUGAGACCUUUAAAUACAUUCAUAAGUAUCAUGUCAUUAAAAUAUUUUCAGAGUAGAAUACAAGGUUAUUGAGAUUAA